Molecule: long non-coding RNA, 213 nt
Filed under: Homo sapiens (human)
Lineage: Eukaryota; Metazoa; Chordata; Mammalia; Primates; Hominidae
Description: HSALNT0307019
Source: RNAcentral
CAGAGCUGGAGUAUUUUCUGCUCUUCCUAAGGCCUGGUAAUUCAGCUCUUUGUGAGACUAAUCUCACCUUGUCACCCAGGCUGGAGUGCAAUGGCAUAAUCUCAGCUCACUGCAACCUCUGUCUCCCAGGCUCAAAUGAUUCUCCUGCCUCAGCCUCCUGAGUAGCUGGGAUUACAGGCGCCCAUGGACUACCAGCUUUUUAAGUAGACUUUU